Rhipicephalus sanguineus (brown dog tick) is the source of this 213-nucleotide long non-coding RNA. RefSeq lists it as uncharacterized. NCBI's taxonomy places the organism in Eukaryota, Metazoa, Arthropoda, Arachnida, Ixodida, Ixodidae. The transcript is spliced from 2 exons. The record is from RefSeq and is a predicted model, not a curated record.
AGCCAUCCUUCCCUUUGUCCCGACUCCGACGCAUGCGCCAACAUCGGUGACGUCAGCGGCCUCGGACCUUCCAAAGGCUAUAAGAAGCUGCGUACCUCCGUCGAACUUCAGUGGGCCAGGCAGCGGCACUCCGGGCGAAAUGCUCACCAAACCAUUCGUCUUUGUGGUGCAGGUUAGUUCCUACUUGCCUGCGCCAUGUUACCGCAGUGAUAA